AGUUACUUAGCUUAUUUUAAAGCAUAAACUUUGAAAGUUUAAGAAAGAAUAAUGAUUUUAGUAACUU
This 67-nucleotide transfer RNA is filed under the name Cicadellidae sp. EMHAU-2015-Zz052706. RNAcentral's name for it is "tRNA-Ser". It matches the Rfam family "tRNA". Rfam says of the family: Transfer RNA (tRNA) molecules are approximately 80 nucleotides in length. Their secondary structure includes four short double-helical elements and three loops (D, anti-codon, and T loops). Lineage: Eukaryota; Metazoa; Arthropoda; Insecta; Hemiptera; Cicadellidae. The record is from RNAcentral.